AAGUAUUACCAAGCUCAGGGGGCUCAGGCUUUGUGAGGAUGGUGUCAGAAAGUGAGAAACAAGGAGACUGCAGCUCCCUCUUGGCUCUUGGGAGACCCCAUCCAAACUUGAGAGCAGAAGGGCAGGAGAGAUCUGUUUUACUGUAUGUCCCUACGUGCUGAAUUCAUCCAUUUCACUUACAGCCACCACUGCAGUGGCACCCACCACACCAGAACCCACUCCUAAGCAUGGCAUAACUGUGGACCCCAACCUCAAUACUCUGGAUCCAGAGAGAAUACAGGAAGAUCUGAAUUUCUUCUGUCACAUCUUCAUCUGGGUGCCCUUAGCAGGUGCCUGCCUCCUGCUCCUCAUUGCCCUGGUGAUCACCAUCGUGCUGUGUCAACAAACCAAAAGACGAAGAUGCAGGUGUAAGAGACCUGCAAACGGAAAGCCCCCCAUGAAACCCAGGACACCAAACUAACACAGAUCAGCAUCUGCUCCUUCUGGCUUCUGGAUCUUCUCCUGGGAGCUGUCAGCACAGAAAUCCAUCUCCCACAUUAUCCACAAUGCCACUGCACCUCACCCACUCUGCCCUGACAGAUUUGAAGAGACAAGAGGGAGCACAGACAAGAAGCAGCACUUCCCUGGGAACUGUAAAGCACAACUCCUUCCAAACCCCAAGCUUCUCUGGGCAAUUCCUAAGGCCAAAGGCCACCUCUGUUCCCAGGGCACAGGCACAAGAACCAGACCAGUCCAGGUGCUGACAUGCCUCAGUGAGGAGCUGAUGAGAAAUAAGGACGUGAGCUGGACCUUUGCUCAAGGCUGUGUGCAAUUUCCUCCCAAAACGCAGCCAGAGGUGGAAUUUGCUGCACAAAGAAAUAAUUAUCCCCACCCAACACAUCUUGUUGUGGUGCCUCCCUACUAGGGCUUUUACUGUUUCAUGUAAUGGAAUGCAAGACUACACUGAGAAGCUAAAUAUGGAUUAAAGGGCCUUACUUUUGAGGUUUUUACAGUUCUGGGGGCUAAGGUUCACUGUUGCCCUCACACUGUCCUUGUUCUGCUGCUACCCCCAAUCCACCUAUUUCUGCAGGAGUUUGGCCUGAGUAAGGAAAGUGGGAUUUGCUUUCUUUCUGAGGGAAAUGCCUGAGUGAUUUAAAAAAAUAAAUAAAUCUUUGUCACUUGUUUUGGUUAAGCAAAAUAUUUAACAUGUUGAUAUUCUGGGGACAUGUUAUGGACUACUGUAAAUUCUGUUUUUUUCAGAUCUGUAUUUCAUGUAAAUAUUUCCUUAGUAUACUUAAAAUUUAAGAACUGAGA
This is a long non-coding RNA of Parus major (Great Tit), 1293 nucleotides long. RefSeq lists it as uncharacterized. The transcript is spliced from 4 exons. The record is from RefSeq and is a predicted model, not a curated record. NCBI's taxonomy places the organism in Eukaryota, Metazoa, Chordata, Aves, Passeriformes, Paridae.